This 847-nucleotide long non-coding RNA is filed under the name Notechis scutatus (mainland tiger snake). RNAcentral's name for it is "lncRNA (ENSNSUG00000019092.1)". The record is from RNAcentral. Lineage: Eukaryota; Metazoa; Chordata; Lepidosauria; Squamata; Elapidae.
CUUGCUUGCUGUUUAACUUUCCUAUAAACUCUGCUUUUUUCCUCAGAAAAACCCAACUGCUGCACCCAUAAACUUUUGUGCUGAGAAGGGAAUUUCAAAUCCAAAGAGGCAUCGGUGGCAAGCAGGCGGUGCAGCUUGUGGCUUGCCUCUGGCUUGUGAAGCCCAUGAUAGCAAAGUCUUUUGCAUAAAAGGACUGAGUCACAGGCAUGCUAAGGCAAUUCUUUUAUGCCUUAGCAAAUAAACAGCAAACCAUCACCAAGAAUCUGACAGAACUUUUUAGUGUCCAAAUCCCCAAAAGAGGUGGGGAUAGAGUAUCAUAAGGACCCACCUGAUCGUGGAUUGCGAACACACAGAGUACCCGAUUUUGUCAGAGAACGAUCCUCGUACUCUUCUUUACAAUGGCAGGAGUAUGUUCCAUAUUCGUUGAGACAAGUGGCCUCGUUGCCACAUAAAGCAAUUUCAGAGUUGCAUUCAUUCACAUCUAUCACGCAUGGACAAAACAGUUUUCCAUUAACAGAGUUCAGCUGUACAAGGCGUUUAUCAGAUCCAGCAUGGAAAUAAACAGUUUAAAAAACAGGACUUACCAUGGGAUUUAUUUUUUACUUUCAAGAGAAUGCUACUGGUUGGCAACCAACUAGAAGGGGAAGACAAAAGAGUUGUUUUGGUCCGCUUCUUUUGCAAAUGCUCUCUAUUCCUGUUUAUUGACUUCUUGUAUUGUAUAGUAAAAGCUGUGUUCAUCUGAGUUCUCAUCAGCCAAUUUGAAGGCAUAACUUUGGGGUUCGCAGUUGUGGAAGUACUCAUCAAGUAAUCAUUAAAUGACUUCAAAGAAGGAGUAGGGUCCGUAUCA